This 377-nucleotide ribosomal RNA is filed under the name Salmonella enterica subsp. enterica serovar Weltevreden. Its description in RNAcentral is "partial 23S ribosomal RNA". It matches the Rfam family "Bacterial large subunit ribosomal RNA", at positions 877 to 1251 of the family's 2925-position model. Lineage: Bacteria; Pseudomonadati; Pseudomonadota; Gammaproteobacteria; Enterobacterales; Enterobacteriaceae. The record is from RNAcentral.
GCGCCUCGUGAAUUCAUCUCCGGGGGUAGAGCACUGUUUCGGCUAGGGGGCCAUCCCGGCUUACCAACCCGAUGCAAACUGCGAAUACCGGAGAAUGUUAUCACGGGAGACACACGGCGGGUGCUAACGUCCGUCGUGAAGAGGGAAACAACCCAGACCGCCAGCUAAGGUCCCAAAGUCAUGGUUAAGUGGGAAACGAUGUGGGAAGGCCCAGACAGCCAGGAUGUUGGCUUAGAAGCAGCCAUCAUUUAAAGAAAGCGUAAUAGCUCACUGGUCGAGUCGGCCUGCGCGGAAGAUGUAACGGGGCUAAACCAUGCACCGAAGCUGCGGCAGCGACGCUUAUGCGUUGUUGGGUAGGGGAGCGUUCUGUAAGCCUG